AUUUAAUCUGUUUAUUUCCUGUAUUAAGCAUGUAAGUAAUUCAUUAAUUGCAGCCCAGUAUGCUCAUUGAAAUUGAAGUUAUCGGAAGUAAACAUAAUGUGGGAGGACAAUUGUCAUAGAAUAUUUAGGAACUUUACAAAAAAAAUGCAUAUGCAAAGGAACAUGCAUGAACCAAACAUGUUAAUGUAAAAAAAAAUAUGACGUUCCUUGUGGUAGCAAGACUAGUGUCACCUUGGGCCAGAGUAACAAAAUAGGAUUCAGAUAUACAAUUAAACAAAUAUUUAAUGUCAAUUGUUCGCUUAUUCACUUCAUCCAUCUAUUUGUAAUAAUAACAAUUUGUAUAAAUAAAGGCAACAGUAGUAUACCGCUGUUCAAAACUCAUAAAUCCAUGGACAAAAAACAAAAUCGGGAUAACAAACUAAAACCGAGGGAAACGCAUUAAAUAUAAGAGGAGAACAACGACAUAACACUAAAAUGUAAC
Molecule: long non-coding RNA, 481 nt
Filed under: Mytilus galloprovincialis (Mediterranean mussel)
Lineage: Eukaryota; Metazoa; Mollusca; Bivalvia; Mytilida; Mytilidae
Source: RNAcentral